CACCUGGACCCAUCCCGAACCCAGAAGUUAAGCCCGUCAACGUAUGGUGCGGUACUGAGAUACGAGAGUUCUCGGGAACCAUCAUGAGCUGCUAUUA
RNAcentral lists this ribosomal RNA (97 nucleotides) under Methanoculleus sp. The record is from RNAcentral. Lineage: Archaea; Methanobacteriati; Methanobacteriota; Methanomicrobia; Methanomicrobiales; Methanomicrobiaceae.